RNAcentral lists this ribosomal RNA (361 nucleotides) under Thermomonas sp. N22. Its description in RNAcentral is "bacterial SSU rRNA". It matches the Rfam family "Bacterial small subunit ribosomal RNA", at positions 327 to 680 of the family's 1533-position model. Lineage: Bacteria; Pseudomonadati; Pseudomonadota; Gammaproteobacteria; Lysobacterales; Lysobacteraceae. The record is from RNAcentral.
CGGUCCAGACUCCUACGGAAGACAGCAGUAGGAAAUAUUGUACAAUGGGCGCAAGCCUGAUCCAUCCAUGCCGCGUGAGUGAAGAAGGCCCUCGGGUUGUAAAGCUCUUUUGUCCGGAAAGAAAAGCAUCGGGUUAAUACGCCGGUGUUCUGCCGGUACCGGAAGAAUAAGCACCGGCUAACUUCGUGCCAGCAGCCGCGGUAAUACGAAGGGUGCAAGCGUUACUCGGAAUUACUGGGCGUAAAGCGUGCGUAGGUGGUUCGUUAAGUCCGAUGUGAAAGCCCUGGGCUCACCCUGGGAAUGGCAUUGAAUACUGGCGGGCUAGAGUGCGGUAAAGGAUAGUGAAAUUCCUGGUGUAGCA